CCUACGGUGGGCUGCAGUGGGGAAUAUUGGACAAUGGGCGAAAGCCUGAUCCAGCCAUGCCGCGUGUGUGAAGAAGGCCUUCGGGUUGUAAAGCACUUUCAGUGGGGAAGAAAGCCUUGGGGCUAAUACCCUCGAGGAAGGACAUCACCCACAGAAGAAGCACCGGCUAACUCCGUGCCAGCAGCCGCGGUAAUACGGAGGGUGCGAGCGUUAAUCGGAAUUACUGGGCGUAAAGCGCGCGUAGGCGGUCUGAUAAGCCGGUUGUGAAAGCCCCGGGCUCAACCUGGGAACGGCAUCCGGAACUGUCAGGCUAGAGUGCAGGAGAGGAAGGUAGAAUUCCCGGUGUAGCGGUGAAAUGCGUAGAGAUCGGGAGGAAUACCAGUGGCGAAGGCGGCCUUCUGGACUGACACUGACGCUGAGGUGCGAAAGCGUGGGUAGCAAACAGGAUUAGAUACCCUGGUAGUC
This 465-nucleotide ribosomal RNA is filed under the name Vreelandella stevensii. Its description in RNAcentral is "partial 16S ribosomal RNA". It matches the Rfam family "Bacterial small subunit ribosomal RNA", at positions 338 to 795 of the family's 1533-position model. The record is from RNAcentral. Lineage: Bacteria; Pseudomonadati; Pseudomonadota; Gammaproteobacteria; Oceanospirillales; Halomonadaceae.